This 7518-nucleotide long non-coding RNA is filed under the name Jatropha curcas. Its description in RNAcentral is "long non-coding RNA (JCUR_LNC003136)". Lineage: Eukaryota; Viridiplantae; Streptophyta; Magnoliopsida; Malpighiales; Euphorbiaceae. The record is from RNAcentral.
UUUCCUCAAGAAGGGAAAGCUUGCCUAAACAAAUGUAAUUUUCUCGUUUCCUUUCAUCUCAAAACUAACCCUUUUAGCUUCUUCCACCAUGAAACCCAAUCUAAUAACCGCCAAUUCUUUUCGAGUUUCCAAUUCCUUAACUCCUAGGAUUUCAAUUCCAUUUCCCAGACCUUCAAAUCCACUCUCCAAUCAUUUCCUUUCAACAACGUUUCACUCUUCCAAACCUUGUCGUUUCUUUCCUAUUUGAUUUUCAAAUCCCAAACAAUCCACUUUCAUUAAUGAAGCAUCGCCAGGUUCUACCGCCGAAUUGGGUGCCAUUUCAAAUGAAAGUCUAGGAGAAGAGGAAUUGGGGAGGAAUUUGAAUGUGCAAGUUGGAAAUUCAAUUGUUCCCUCGUAUUUUCAGUCGUCGACUAAGCUUAGUUUGAGUGACCAAGCUUUCUUUCUCCUGUCGUUUAUUGCUUGCACGGUAUAAAACUUCUUUCUUCUGGGUUUCAAUGGAACUUGUAGCUUAUACUUUUAGCUUGUGUUCUGGAUUUUAUAUGAUAAGAGGCAUUAGCUCAAAAUGCCGAACUCUAGAUGUAAUCAAUCUUUUUCUUUUUUCUCAAGUUAAAUCUUCAACUGAGCAAUGAACUUUGAAUUGCCUAAAUGCUAGCCUUUUGUUUUUGAAUUUUUGAUUAAUAGCAUGGAAACCUUUUUGUUUGGUAUGCAAAUUUGCAAUCUAUCUGAAUUGGAAGGAUUUGAAUUUUUUUUUUUUAUGCAUAUCAGUUAUUUAGUAGUGUGUUUAUAAGAAAACUAGCUGCUUCUGAUGUUCUAAUUUGGGUCACAGGUGAACUUACAGUUCAUACUAUGGUCAUGAAUUGGUGAGAAGAGAAAGUAAAUAACUUUUGGCCAUUCUGAGCAGUUGUUUAUCUUGGCAUUUACCACUUGCAUAUUAUGGUUUUAUUUAGCUAAAGUGUGACUAAGAGCUUAGAAACUGUGAUUACUUGAUGGGACAAUUGUCUUCAUUGAAAAUUUUCCUAUCAAAAUCUUCUUGUAUACCAUACAGAAACUCGUCUUUGUUCUAUUUCCAUGAAUUUGUUGACAUCAAGCUUUAUUAGUUUAACUGCCUGCAGACUUCUAUAGCAUUUACAAGCCUUGUCGUUGCCGCCAUCCCAACAGUCUACGUAAGUCAUAUGACACAUCAAACUAUAUUCAAGAUAUCUGAAAUUUCACACAAGAUGAAAUUGAUCUCAUUAUCAAGCUUCAUAGGCUCUUGGGCAACAGGUAAAUUGAUUAAAUAAAUAAUUUUUGCUCGUAACUAUUUAAAUUGACGCGUCAAUAUAGUUCUUAUUAACGGAUCAUGUUGUUAUUUUAAAAAGUUCUUUUAUUUGUAACUUCAAAUGGAAAUCGAGAAUUUUGCAGAUUUACAGAUAUAAUAAGUUAAAAUACAAAUUGGUAUUUGAAUUCUUUUUUUAUUUUGUGAAUAUUUUGCCUGCAAUAUAAGUUCCAAUUAUUUGAAUUUCUGGAUUUGUUUUAGAAAUUUUUUCAAUUUGUUGAAUUGAAUCUGGCUUUAAAUUGAUUUAUUUAAGGCAAUUUUAAUUUAAGUUUCAAUUUUCAAUUGGGCACAAUUUUUGUUUUAUUAAAUAGAGUUAAAUUGAGAGAUUAACAGAUGUUAAUGGAUGCUUAAUUAGGUGGUCAUUGAUUGCCAGCAGACUUCCAGGAAGAACAGCAAAUGAUGUAAAGAAUUACUGGAAUUGCCACAUAAGCAAAAGACUAAAUGCUAAAGAAACCAAACAGAAGCAAAUUGCAAGAAACCCACCUCAGCCUGAAAAUCCUGCAACAAGCCCAAGAAGCCCAGAAGGCCCAAGUUACUUGCAACCACAACAUGUAGAACCCAGUAGAUGUAGCCCAUUAGCAGCAAUCCAUGUGACUGAAGACGGACAGGGCCCACGUGUGAUUCAAGAGAAGGAGAAUUGCUAUUCUGGAUUUGAAGAUCGUGGGUUUUUUGCUGACUUGGAGUUGGAGUUUGGGAAUUUUUUUGAAGAUAAUAAGGUGGCAUUUGGUAAUGAUCAUUUCAGCAGCAAAAAUGAGUGGGAUGACUUGAUCUCCGACCUUGAUUUUUGAAUUGAAAAAAUUUGUAAUUUGAUUAGUUGUUUGGUAAAAUUUUAGUAGCAUUGCUAAGAAAAAAAAAUUCUCAAACUUAGUUAAUGGAUUCAGCAAUUGAUGAUAAUUUCUAUCUACUUCUAAUAGUUGAUUAAUACCCUUACUGAAUGUUUAUAAUGUAUUUGUUUGGUGCAAAAUCAGUUAUAAUUUAUAUGAAUGAAAUGAGUCAAACGCUCCCUCAGUCUUUGUUAUGGAACUUAUCUUACAUGUAGUAGCUAGCAUUUUUUUAAAGUAUAUACUUUCUUUCCGCAAAUAUAUAUUUAUACAAAUGAAAGGAGACAAAAAAGUUCAAAACUUAAAAGCAGAAUUCACUGUUCGAUGCUCUUUUGACGCCUUCCUCGCGAAGUCGUCGAAACCCCUUCCAAGCGAAGUAGCUUCUUAAUUGGGUUUUGCGCGAUAUUCUUAAAUGUGUAUAUAUAUAUGUUGCCAUUUGGGUCUCUUUCUAUAUGUGCGGAGAAAAAAAGCCUACUGUAGUCAACAUAGAGUUUCAACUCUCAGGUAAUAAAAUUGUGUUCAUCUGAAGGUUUGAGCUUUAUGAUUUCUGGGUUUGAGUUCUAAUUAUGAACUGAAAACAAAAUUUUGUAUAACAAUCUGUAUUGAUUAGUUUAUUUGGAAUUCGAGUGUUUAGACACAGCUUAUAAGAGUUCUUUUUUUCCUUGGAUUGUUGAAAUCGUAGGAUAAUUCUUAUAUUUGUUAUUCUCUUUGGCUGAGUUCCAUUUUGCAAUAAUUCUUCUUCUUAGGCAUUCAGGUCAGAUACAGGUAGUAUUAAUUCAAUGGCUUACGUUCCUCCACAUAAGCGGCAUUCACUCGGCAAUGAGAGGCAGUCACCAAUUCCAGAGACAUUUGUUCCUCUCUUCAAGAGAAAUCUUAGUUUGAAAUUACCAGACUCUACAAUAAAUAGGAGCGGAAAGAUCGUAUAUGCAGAUCAUGCCAUAUCUAGAUGGUUUGCCAUUGGUUUGGAUGAUGAUAACCAAUUUCCUCCUUACAUUUGUCUUAAGCCAGCUUCCGUGGAAUCUGUUGAGCGCAGAUCAGGAGAAAAACCUCUAGUGUUGGUCAACAGUAUUGUACCUGAUGGUUCGUAUGCCCUUUUUGGGAUUAUUCUCAUUUAUUUUCUAGAUAACGCAAUGAGAUUAACCUUUAUUUUUUUGUUACAAUUGUGUCUGUUGUAGAGUAUUAUGAAGUGAGAGAGAAUUAUUUGACAAGUCCCUGGGUAACUAUAGCAGAAAAUGUACAGCAAGAUCUACUCACUUCUUUUGAAAUGCUGAAGAAUGAAAUGGACUAUCCAGGGUUGGAAAUAGUUAAGCCAACAUUGGUUGCUAGAUUCUGUAAAAUUCUUUUUCAUGGGUAAGCAAUCCAAUUCCCUUGAUUGUUAGUUUCUUUUAUUUCAUCUACUAGCCUGAAAUAUUACAUUUUACUUGGCCUUUUUUUUAAAACAUAAAGUGAAUCGCUACAGCAAAGAGACAGCCCGUUUUUUUUCGUUUUCGAUAUAUUAUUUUGUACUUCUUGGUUAUGCAUGUUACAGAAACUGUCCAUAGUGAAACCUGCAAAAUUAGCGUGACCUUAACUUGUAGCCUUAAAAUCCUAGAGACUGAUCAAAUUAAAUUGUCUUGACUUAAUAAUGAGUUUUUAAUAGUUCUCAAAAACCCACAUCAUCGAUUAUGUUGUACUUGUGUUUUGAAGCCCUAAUAGUUAAGUGUAUAAACUAUAAAGUAUGACUUCUCUUUCUCAAGAACAAGCUUCAAUUUUUUGUUGUCAAAAAAUUACAGAACUUCUUAGAUCACUUUGGUUUCUAACAGAAACUCCUGUAGAAUUUUUGACCUUUCGGUUUUUGAAACUGGAGUCAACUUCCUGGAUCUUAGUGUUAAGGUCGACAACAAACAUGUUCUAUUUCUCCACCUCGUGGUGUUUUAUGAAUGGGUUGAACAUACGAAUCUCUCCUGGUGUUCAAAGCCUGGCUUAUGUUGUGGAGGAGUUGCCUGAAUAAUCUAAAGUGUGUGAUUUUGGUGUUUGUGCCUUACUUGCUGUUGCCUUGCAGUAGGAAGUUUCUGGGAGGGGCUUGAGAUGUGGAAAAAUCCUAUUAUUCUCCUUAUUAACCUUCUAGUACAUGUUGCAAAUUUCUCUUCCAUCAGUAUACUAACAGACGAGCGAGCAAAAACUCAUCACAUUUGCUUUUUUUGGUGCAGGAGCCCUCAGUUACGCUUAGGAAACGUUGAGAAAAAUCAGGUUGAUGAAACCAUUUUGAAACGAUUGAAAAGAUCAAUUUACACAAAUCUUCCUCCUUCAUAUAUGGAACUAAUUAUAGAUGAAGUUGUUCCAAAGAUUGGGGUUGAUUUUGAAGAGGAAAAGGAAGUCUAUCAUGUGAAGGUAUUCCUUUUGCUGCAUUAUUCUUCUUCUUUCUACCACUCGUAGUAUCUGUUUCAGCUUGUUAAUGGUAUUUUGUUGUCUUGUAUAGUUGUCUGAUAACACGCGGCCUGAUUCAACUAUUUCAUGCAAAUGUAGUGUAAAGACAGAUAAAAAGCUACUGCUCUACAAGGUAGUUUUUCCAUUUGAUUAGCAAGAGCACUGUCCCUAAAUGGUGCUAUAUGUGAAUUAUGAUAUGUGCGGCCUUUAUUGACACUGGUAUAACUCGUGGGUGCGUUCUGAUUUAAUUGAUCAUUUUCACUUUCACAUUGCAUUUGUUAUUUUUAAAAUGUACUUCUGCUUGUUUAUGGAGGGUGCCUGAAAAAAUAGGCAUUUUCCCUGUAGGUUGAACUAAACCAAGUGCGCCAGAUGGUCACGGAUAUAUUGUGCCUUGAUAGGAAUCUAGACCUCAGGCUAAUGCUAUGCACCAAGAGGAUCCUAACUGCUCUUACAGUAAGUAAAUCUGCCAUCACUAAUCAAGAAAGCAUUUGCCAUUGCCAACCAGAGAAGUGCCUGGGGCCAAUACUGUGGAGACCUUUAUCUUAUUAUUUUAUGACCAUUUUAGUUAUCCUACAUUGAGUGCCUUCACUGUUUCAAGGAAUGAUGGAAACUAUUUCAAUUAAAUGGAAGGGAGGGCAAAAAUCUUUGCCCUACAUAUUCUGUUUUAUGCAACAACAUGGGAAAGAAAUCAUGGAAGGCAAAACUCUUUUACGGGCUUGCAACCUAGAUUGGCUCUAAAAUUGGCGAAUUAAAUUGAAAGAAUUAAAACUAUAUCUGUAAACCUGCUUCUCUUGCAGAAUAAGAUUGAAUGGAAUGUCAUCACCUAUUUUUUUGAGAGAGAUUUUUUCAUUGGACAUUGUAAAAUUUCUGAUACAUGAAAUAGUGUUUCAUAUGAAGAGCUUUAGUAAAUGCAAAAGAACUAUGAUGAUAUAUUUGAUGCCAUGAUAUGCCUGAAAUUGAAUCAACUAAACCAGAGCAUUUGUUUAACCUGCAUUUGCCAUGUUACGGACUUUAGGUCAAAUUUUUACACCAAAGAGUGCCUUUUUAUAGUUAGACUAAUUGUAUGUACUAUUGCAUUUGCAGGUUGAUGAGAUGAAUAAAAUAAGAGAUCUGAUUGAUUCUGCAGUUUUGGAUUCAGACGUGAAGGGUGGGUUGAGAUGGCCCCUGGGGAAGACAACUUCUGGAAAUAGAUACACUGUAGUGGGGGUUUGGCAUACUAUAGCUAAAGCCUACAAAAAUCCAUCAGUUAGGCUCAAAGUAAGACAUGCUGAUCGAUUUGAUUUUAGGACUGGAACUGGAGAAUCUACAAGGGAAAUUUAUCUGAAGUUGAAAGGAGUAGUGUCACAAUUGCAGGUGAGUUAUUUUUGUUCAGUUUGAAACUCCACUAUGCUUAGCUAACAUGAUGUGCUUAUAUUUACAGCCUGAAAUCUUAGGACUUUUCCCAAGUACUAUUAGUUUUAGCUUUUCCCAACUGAGAAUUUAUUGGUAUGGUCAUGCUUCAGUUAGUUGCAGAAUUCUAUAUAUAUAGCUUUCUUGUUGCCUAUUUUGAUUUUACUAUUUUCUUGGUAAGUUUUAUUGACUGUUUAACAGUAAUUUAUAUAUUUUUCCCCCUUCAGAAAACAAGUCUUCUUAGUUAGUCUCUGUCUCUUCAUUUGGCAGAUCUUUCUUUGUUUACAGCUUCAGUUCUUUCAAUUUUCAGGAACAGGGAGCAGAAAGUGAUGCAGUCUCUAAUAUGCUUAAAGACAACUUAAGGCUGAUAUGGGAGCACUUCUUAAACUGCAAACGGUUUUUAUCAUGAAAAACAUGUUAUCAGUUCACCUCCUCUCUGUAAAUAGUGUUCGUUUUUGAAUGACAGUUGAAGAAUGUAAUGUUGUUUUUUUAAAAUGGGGAGGGAUUUUUGAAGAAGACAAUGUUUUAAGUGUUUGAAGGAUCUGCUUCUCUUUAAAUGCAAUAAUGCCCUGUAAUUUUGUUCAUCUCUCUCUGUGGUAUUGCUCUUCUGGAUAAGCUUUCUUUGAUUUAUAUUUGUGGCUAGAAAUAGUAUUAUUUACAUUAAAUUUUAGGCCAAGGUUCAGAGUAAUUUAAACCAAAUGAAUUAAUUUUUUUCCAAAAUUGAUUUUUGAAAAAGCUCAUAUUUGUACAUAUAGUUUGGAGGUGAAGAUUUUGAUGAGCCAUGUGGUGGUCUAAAAAGUGGGAAAGAUCAAUUAAACUUCAUUAAUGAAUAAAAUGAUUCUAAACCAGUAUUUUCUUCAUCUAUUUUUAUCUUUUAUUUUUUUUAAAAUGUAUUUAAAAUUAUUUAUCAUUUUGAAAAAAAUUGAAUAUUAAUUAUUUUUUAGAAAUAUAAUUAUUGAGAUUAUAAUAAUUUAAUGAGAUAAAAAGUUUCAUAUAAAAAAAAUGAGAUAAAUGGGUAAUUUAAUUAAAUUAAUGAUUAUUUUGUUAAAUUUAGACAUUUUAAACAGCAUAAGGAGGGAGAGUUUAUUUCUAAAACUUCAUUAUUAAUUUGAGAUGAUCUAUCCAGAAAUACUGAUUUCAACCGUUUUAGAAAAAAUAAAAAGGGCAGAAAGGGAAGAGAAUGGGCACAGAGAAAUAGUUUCCUCAAGAAGAGAAAGCCUGCCUGAACAAAUGCAAUUUUCUCGUUUCCUUUCAGCUCAAAACUAACCCUUUUAGCUUCUUCCACCAUGAAACCCAAUCUAAUAACCGCCAAUUCUUUUCGAGUUUCCAAUUCCUUAACUCCUAGGAUUUCAAUUCCAUUUCCCAGACCUUCAAAUCCACUCUCCAAUCAUUUCCUUUCCACAACCUUUCACUCUUCCAAACCUUGUCGUUUCUUUCCUAUUUGCUUUUCAAAUCCCAAACAAUCCAGUUUCAUUAAUGAAGCAUCGCCAGAUUCUACCGCCGAAUUGGGUGCCAUUUCAAAUGAAAGUCUAGGAGAAGAGGAAUUGGGGAGGAAUUUGAAUGUGCAAGUUGGAAAUUCAAUUGUUC